RNAcentral lists this ribosomal RNA (492 nucleotides) under uncultured bacterium. Its description in RNAcentral is "partial 16S ribosomal RNA". It matches the Rfam family "Bacterial small subunit ribosomal RNA", at positions 29 to 507 of the family's 1533-position model. The record is from RNAcentral.
AGUGAACGCUGGCGGUAGGCCUAACACAUGCCAGUCGAACGGCAGCACAGUAAGAGCUUGCUCUUACGGGUGGCGAGUGGCGGACGGGUGAGGAAUACAUCGGAAUCUACUUUUUCGUGGGGGUUAACGUAGGGAAACUUACGCUAAUACCGCAUACGACCUACGGGUGAAAGCAGGGGAUCUUCGGACCUUGCGCGAUUGAAUGAGCCGAUGUCGGAUUAGCUAGUUGGCGGGGUAAAGGCCCACCAAGGCGACGAUCCGUAGCUGGUCUGAGAGGAUGAUCAGCCACACUGGCACUGAGACACGGUCCAGACUCCUACGGGAUGCAGCAGUGGGGAAUAUUGGCUAAUGGGCGCAAGCCUGAUCCAGCCAUACCGCGUGGGUGAAGAAGGCCUUCGGGUUGUAAAGCCCUUUUGUUGGGAAAGAAAAGCAGCAGGCUAAUACCCCGCUGUUCUGACGGUACCCAAAGAAUAAGCACCGGCUAACUUCGUG